Molecule: long non-coding RNA, 7119 nt
Filed under: Capsicum annuum
Lineage: Eukaryota; Viridiplantae; Streptophyta; Magnoliopsida; Solanales; Solanaceae
Description: long non-coding RNA (CANN_LNC003850)
Source: RNAcentral
CCGCUUCAAGUUCCUCCUCUUCAAUUGCAGGUUUUUCAUCUUUCUCUCCAACAACUAGUUCUUCAGGUUUCUCUUCAAGUGCCAGUUCUUCAGGUGUUUCCUCCUUUGCCAGCUCUUCAGGUGUUUCCUCCUUUGCCAGCUCUUCAGGUGUUUCUUUAGCUGCCGGUUCUUCAGGUUUCUCUUCAACCUCCGGUUCUUGUGGUAUUUCCUCUACUUGUACUUCAGAUUUCUCCUCAAUUGUUGGUUCUUCAGGUUUCUCUCUAACCGCUGCUGCAUUAGGUUUCUCUUCAUUGGCUGGUUCUUCAGGUUUUUCUUCAACUACCGAUUCUUCAGGAUUUUCCUCAAUGUUUGGAAAGGGAGCGACAUCAUUAUUGGUAUUGCAUGGAAUUUCACUGCCAGUUUUGUCAUUCAAGUCCACAACUAGUAUAUUCUGCAAAAGAGUUUAAUGUUUCACUUAGUCUUUCAAUAAAGAAGCAGAUGCGAAUCAUUACAUAUACAUAACUAAUAACAUGGAUAAACUUUAUGACAGUAGUUGACCCUUACCUUUUCCACAAGAGUUACUUUUGCAGGUUUCUCCUCUUCAAGUGCUGGUUUCUCUUCAAAUGAUAGUUCAUUAGGUGUUUCUUCCCGUGUUGGUUCUUCAUGUGCUUCUUCAGUUACUGGUUUUUCAGGUUUCUCCUCAAUUGUUGGUUCUUCGCUUGUCUUCUCAACUGAUGGUUCCUCAUGCUUCUCUCCCGUUGUUGAUUUUUCGGGUUUCUCUUCAGUUGUCGAUGGUUCAGUUUUUUUCUCAACCGCUGGUUCUUUUGGCUUCUCCAAAACCAUUUCCGAUUUCUCUUCAGUUGGUGGUUCUUCAUGGUUUUUUUCAACUACUGGUUCUUCUCUUUUUUCCUCAACUGAUGCAUAGUCAGCAAUAUCGUUGUUGGUAUUGCUUGGAAUUGCAUUGUCUGUCUUGUCCUUUGAGCUUACAAUUGGCAUAUUCUGCUAGAAAAAUAUAAAGUUUCAUGUAGUCUUUCAACAGAGAAACCAAUGUAAAUUUGUUGCACAUAUAAAGCUAACAAAUAUGAUGGAUAGACUUUGCGAGAGUGUUUAAUACUCACCUUCUCCGGAAGAGCUUCCGUUUCAGGUUCCUCUUCAAUUUCUGCUUUUUCAUCUUUCUCUUCAACAACUAGUUCUUCAGGUGUCUCUUCAACCGUUGAUUCUUCAGGUUUCUCUUCAAGUGUUAGUUCUUGAGGUGUUUCCUCCUUUGCUAGCUCUUCAGGUGUUUCUGUAACUGCCGGUUCUUCAGGUUCCUCUUCAGCCACCGGCUGUUGACGUAUCUCCUCUACUUGUACUUCAGAUUUCUCCUCAAUUGUUGGUUCUUCAGGUUUCUCCUUAACCGCUGGUACAUCAGGUUUAUCCUCAUUGACUGGUUCUUCAACUGCUGAUUCUUCUAGAUUUUCCUCAAUGUCUGGAAAGCGAGCAACAUCAUUAUUGGUAUUGCAUGGAAUUUCAUUUCCAGUUUCGUUAUUCGAGUCUACAAUUAGCAUAUUCUGCAAAAAGAAUUUAAUGUUUCAUUUAGCCUUUCAAUAAAGAAGCAUAUGCGAAUAACAGUACAUGCAUAACUAACAAAAUGGAUAAACUUUGUGAUAGUGCUUGAUCCUUACCUUUGCCAAAAGAGUUACCUUUUCAGGUUUCUCCUCUUCAACGGUUGGUUCUUCAUGUUUCUUUUCAAAUGCUAGUUCCUUGGUUGUUUCUUCCGGUGUUGGUUCCAUAGGUGUUUCUUCAGUUACUUGUUUUUCGGGUUUCUCUUCAAUUAUUGGUUCUUCGAUUGUCUUCUCAACUGAUGGUUCUUCAAGAUUUUCUCCCACUGUUGGUUUUUGGGGUUUCUCUUCUAUUGUUGGUUGUUCAGGAAUUUUCUCAACUGGUGGUUCUGCUGGAUAUUCCAAAACCAUUGAUUCUUCAGAUUUCUCUUCAAUUGAUGGUUCUUCAUGGGUUUUUUCAACUACUGGUUCUUCAAUUUUUUCCUCAACAGAUGCAUAGUCAACAAUAUCAUUAUUGGUAUUGCUUGGAAUUGCAUCGUCUGUCAUGUCCUUUGAGUUUACUUUUGGCAUAUUCUGCAAUAGAGUUUCAUGUAAUCUUUCAACAGAUAAACAGAUGUAAAUUUGUUGCACAUAUAAAGCUAAUAUGGUGGAUAAACUUUGUGACAGUGUUUAAUCCUCACCUUCUCCUGAAGAUCUUCCGCUUCAAGUUCCUCCUCUACAAUUGCAGUUUUUUCCUCUUCCCCUUCAACAACUAGUUCUUCAGGUGCCUCUUCAGCCGUUGAUUCUUCAGGUUUCUCUUCAAGUGCUAGUUCUUCAGGUGUUUCCUCCUUUGCCAGCUCUUCAGGUGUUUCUUUAGAUGCCGAUUCUUCAGGUUUCUCUUCAGCCAUCGGUUCUUGAGGUAUUUCCUCUACUUGUACUUCAUAUUUCUCCUCAAUUGUUUGUUCUUCAGGUUUCUCUUCAGGUUUCUCCUUAACCACUGGUACAUCAGGUUUCUCUUGAUUAACUGGUUCUUUGGGUUUUUCUUCAACAGCCGAAUCUUCAGGAUUUUCCUCAAUGUCUUGAAAGCAAGCAAUAUCUUUAGUGGUAUUGCAUGGAAUUUCACUGCCAGUUUUGUUGUUCGAGUCUACAAUUAGCAUAUUCUGCAAAAGGAAUUUGAUGUUUCAUUUAGCCUUUUAAUAAAGAAGCAGAUGUGAAUAACAUUACAUGCAUAACUUACAAAAUGGAUAAAUUUUGUGACAGUCCUUGACCCUUACCUUUUCAGGUUUCUCCUCUUCAACAGCUGAUUCUUCAUGUUUCUCUUCAAAUGCUAGUUCUCUGGGUGUUUCUUCCCGUAGUGCUUCUUCAUGUGCUUCUUCAGUUACUGGUUUUUCAGGUUUCUCCUCAAUUGUUGGUUCUUUGAUUGUCUCCUCAACAGAUGGUUCUUCAAGCUUCUCUCCCGUUGUUGAUUUUUCUGGUUUCUCUUCAAUUGCUGGUUGUUCAGGAAUUUUCUCAACAGCUGGUUCUUCUGGCUUCUCUAAAACCAUUGAUUCUUCAGCUUUCUCUUCAAUUGAUGGUUCUUCAUGGUUUUUUUCAACUAUUGGUUCUUCAGUUUUUUCCUCAACGGAUGCAUAGUCAACAAUAUCAUUGUUGGUAUUGCUUGGAAUUGCAUCGUCUGUCAUGUCCUUUGAGUUUACUUUUGGCAUAUUCUACAAUAAAGUUUCAUGUAGUCUUUCAAUAGAUAAACAGAUGUAAAUUUGUUGCAACAUAUAAAGCUAAUAUGGUGGAUAAACUUUGUGACAGUGUUUAAUCCUCACCUUCUCCCGAAGAUCUUCCGCUUUAAGUUCCUCCUCUUCAAUUGCUGUUUUUUCAUCUUUCGUUUCAACAACUAGUUCUUCAGGUGCCUCUUCAGCCGUUGAUUCUUCAGGUUUUUCUUCAAGUGCCAGCUCUUCAGGUGUUUCCUCCUUUGCCAUCUCUUCAGGUGUUUCCUCCUUUGCCAGCUCUUCAGGUGUUUCUUUAGCUGCUGGUUCUUCAGGUUUCUCUUCAGCCGCCAGUUCUUGAGGUAUCUCCUUUUCUACUUCAGAUUUCUCCUCAACUGUUGGUUCUUCAGGUUUCUCUUCAUUAACUGGUUCUUUGGGUUUUUCUUCAACAGCCGAAUCUUCAGGAUUUUCCUCAAUGUCUGGAAAGUGAGCAACAUCUUUAUUGGUAUUGCAUGCAAUUUCACUGUCAGUUUUGUCGUUCAAGUCUACAAUUAGCAUAUUCUGCAAAAAGAAUUUGAUGUUUCAUUUAGCCUAUUAAUAAAGAAGCAGAUGUGAAUAACAUUACAUGCAUAACUUACAAAAUGGAUAAACUUUGUGAUGGUCCUUGACCCUUACCUUUCCAGGCUUCUCCUCUUCAACGGCCAGUUCUUGUUUCUCUUCAAAUGCUAGUUCCCUGGGUGUUUCUUCCUGUAUUGGUUCUUCAUGUGCUUCUUCAGGUACUGGUUUUUCAGGUUUCUCCUCAAUUGUUGGUUCUUCGAUUGUCUCCUCAACAGAUGGUUCUUCAAGGUUCUCUCCCGUUGUUGAGUCUUCUGGUUUCUCUUCAAUUGCUGGUUGUUCAGAAAUUUUCUCAACAGCUGGUUCUUCUGGCUUCUCCAAAACCAUUGAUUCUUCAGCUUUCUCUUCAAUUAAAGGUUCUUCAUGGUUUUUUUCAACUACUGUUUCUUCAGUUUUUUCCUCAACGGAUGCAUAGUCAACAACAUCAUUGUUGGUAUUGCUUGGAAUUGCAUCGUCUGUCAUGUCCUUUGAGCUUACUUUUGGCAUAUUCUGCAAUAAAGUUUCAUGUAGUCUUUCAAUAGAUAAACAGAUGUAAAUUUGUUGCACAUAUAAAGCCAAUAUGGUGGAUACACUUUGUGACAGUGUUUAAUCCUCACCUUCUCCUGAAGAUCUUCCGCUUCAAGUUCUUCCUCUUCAAUUGCUGUUUUUUCAUCUCUCUCUUCAACAACUUGUUCUUCAGGUGCCUCUUCAGCCGUUGAUUCUUCAGGUUUCUCUUCAAGCACUAGUUCUUCAGGUGUUUCCUCCUUUGCCAGCUCUUCAGGUGUUUCUUUAGCUGCCAGUUCUUCAGGUUUCUCUUCAGCUGCCGAUUCUUGAGGUAUUUCCUUUACCUGUACUUUAGAUUUCUCCUCAAAUGUUGGUUCUUCAGGUUUCUCCUUAACCGCAGGUACAUCAGGUUUCUCUUCAGCUGCUGGUUUUUGAGGUUUCUCCUCUACUUGUACCUCGGAUUUCUCCUCAACCAUCGGUUCUUCAGGUUUCUCCUCAACCUCUGGUACGUCAGGUUUCUCUUCAUUAACAAGUUCUUCACUUUUUUCUUCAAUAGUUGAUUCUUCAGGAUUUUCCUUAGUGUCUGGAGAGUAAGCAACAUCAUUAUUGGUAUUGCAUGGAAUUUCACUGCCAGUUGUGUCGUUCGACUCUACCAUUGGCAUAUUCUGCAGAAAGAAUUUAAUGUUUCACUUUGCCUUUCAAUAAAGAAGCCGAUGUAAAUCAGAGGACAUACAUAACUAAAAAAGAUGGAUUAACUUUGUGAUAGUGUUUGACUCUUACCUUUUCGAAAAGAGUUAUCUUUUCAGGUUUCUCCUCUUCAACUGUUGGUUCUUCAUGUUUCUCUUCAAAUGCUAGUUCCUCAGGUGUUUCUUCCUGUAUUGGUUCCUCAGGUGUUUCUUCUUCUGUUACUUGCUUUUCAGGUUUCUCCUCAAUUGUUGGUUCUUUGAUUGUCUCCCCAAUCGAUGGUUCUUCAAGCUUUCCCCCCCCUGUUGGUUUUUCAGGUUUCUCUUCAAUUUUCGGUUGUUCAGGUAUUUUCUCAACUGCCGGUUCUUCUGCCUUCUCCAACACCAUUGAUUCUUCAGAUUCCUCUUCAAUUGAUGAUUCUUCAUGGGUUUUUUUAACUACUGACUCUUCUGUGUUUUCCUCAACUGAUGCAUAAUCAGCAAUGUCGUUGUCGGUAUUGCUUGGAAUUGCAUUGUCUAUCUUGUCCUUUGAGUUUAAUUUUGGCAUAUUCUGCAAUAAAGUUUCAUGUAGUCUUUCAAUAGAUAAACAGAUGUAAAUUUGUUGCACUCAUAAAGCUAAUAUGAUGGAUAAAAUUUGUGACAGUGUUUAAUCCUCACCUUCUCCUGAAAAACUUCUGUUUCAAGUUCCUCCUCUUCAAUUGCUGCUUUUUCAUCUUUCUUCUCUACAACUAAUUCUUCAGGUUCCUCCUCAACGGUUGAUUCUUCAGGCUUUUCUUCAAGUACUAGUUCUUCAGGUGUUUCCUCCUUUGCUAGCUCUUCAGGUGUUCCUUUAGCUGCCGGUUCUUCUGGCUUCUCUUCAGCCUCCGGUUUUUGAGAUAUCUCCUCUACUUGAACUUUAGAUUUCUCAUUAAUUGUUGGUUCUUCAGGUUUCACCUCAACCGCUGGUACAUCAGAUUUCUCCUCAUUAACUGGUUCUUCAGGUUUUUCUUCAACAGCCAAUUCUUCAGGAAUUUCCUCAAUGUCUGGAAAGUGAACAACAUUAUUCUUCGUAUUGCAUGGAAUUUCACUGCCACUGUUGUCGUUCGAGUCUAUAAUUAGCAUAUUCUGCAUAAAGAAUUCAAUGUUUUACUUAGCCUUUCAAUAAAGAAGCAGGUGUGAAUCACAAUACAUGCAUAUCUAACAAAAUGGAUAAACUUUGUGAUAGUGCUUGGCCCUUACCUUUUCUAAAAGAGUUUCCUUUUCAGGUUUCUCCUCUUCGAUGGCUGGUUCUUCAUGUUUCUCUUCAAAUGGUAGUUCAUUUGGUGUUUCUUCUCGUGUUGGUUCUUCAGGUGCUUCCUCAGUUACUGGUUUUACAGGUUUCUCUUCAACUGUUAGUUCUUCGAGUGUCUCCUCCAUCGAUGGUUCCUCAAGUUUCUCUCUUGCUGCUGGUUUUUCAGAUUUAUCUUCAACUAUCGGUUGUUCAGGUUUAUUCUCAAUCGCUGGUUCUGCAGGCUUCUCCGAAACCGCUGAUUCUUCAGAUUUCUCUUCAAUUGGUGAUUCUUCGUGUUUUUUUUCAACUACGGGUUCUUCAGUUUUUUCCUCAACUGAUGCAUAAUCAGCACUAUCAUUGUUGGUAUUGCAUGGAGUUGCAUUUUCUGUCUUGUUCUUUGAGCCUACAAUUGGUGAAUUCUGCAAAAAAUUUAAAAUUUCAUUUAGUCUUUAAAUAGAUAAACAGAUGUAAAUUCAUUGCACAUAUAAAGCUAAUAUGAUAGAUAAACUUUGUGACAGUGUUUAAUCUUCACCUUCUCCUGAAGAGCUUCCAUUUCUAGUUCCUCCUCUUCACUUGCUGGUUUUUCAUCUUUCUCUUCAACAACUAGUUCUUCAGGUGUCUUUAUAGUCUUUGAUUCUUCAGGUGCUUCUUUAUCUGCCCGUUCUUCAGGUUUCUCUUCAGCCACCGGUUCUUGAGGUAUAUUCUCUUGUACUUCAGAUCUCUCCUCAAUUAUUGGUUCUGCAGGUUUCUCUUCAUUGUCUGGUUCUUUGGGUUUUUCUUCGACAGCCAAUUCUUCAAGAUGAUUUUCCUCAAUGUCUGGAAAGUGAGCAACAUCAUUAUUGGUAUUGCAUGGAAUUUCACUGUCAGUUUUGUCGUUCAAGUCUACAAUUAGC